Long non-coding RNA from Sphaerodactylus townsendi, 868 nucleotides. RefSeq lists it as uncharacterized. The record is from RefSeq and is a predicted model, not a curated record. The transcript is spliced from 3 exons. Lineage: Eukaryota; Metazoa; Chordata; Lepidosauria; Squamata; Sphaerodactylidae.
UUCAGUUGGGAGGGGGUAAGAAAUGAUAUAAGGCAGGAAAUAUGAUAUUUAAUGUUUUUUAAAUUAACACUUACUAAGGAUAAGAUAUCUUACAACCAUGUACAAUGUGAUUAACAGAGUAAUCUAAAAAGGGUAGUUGAGAUAAGGAGUGAUUAUUAGAAAUUUUCAUACGUACAAUCAAUCAAGAGAACCCAUAAUAAAUCAACUUGAGUUGUAAUUUUGCCCUCUUGUUUAGAAAAGAUAGCAUCUCUUCUUUAAAAAAAGACUGAAAUAAAUCCUUGAAUGGAUUUUUCACAUUCAUUGGGGUGGAUGUUAUUUUUAAUUUUUUAUUGUACUGAGGAAUUUUAAUUUUUAAAGGAUAAAUUGAUCUCAGCAGAAGAGGUGGAUUUGGGAAAGUGGCAUCACACUGUACCAUCAGUUGACCUUUGACCUCGAAGUGACAUCACAAAACAUUACAUUACAAAGUGAUUGUGUCCUUGCUAAGUUCUGCCCUCCCCAAACUCCAUACUUCCCAGCUACUGCUCCAAAUACCUCUAGCAAUUUCCUGAGCCAGAGUUGACGUUAAGGGACAAAGAACUCAUGGUGGGGUAUGACCAUUUUGAAAUUUGUUAAUAGCAUCUAUUGGGGCCUCCAAACUGAGAAGAAAUCAUUUACACUCAGAUGGGAACUUUUUUUCUUUUUAACUAUUUAGACCAGUGAUGGCUAACCUUUUCGAGACCAAGUGCCCAAAUUGCAACCCAAAACCCACUUAUUUAUCGCAAAGGGCCUACAUGGCAAUAUAACCUGAGUACUGAGAUUUUAGUUUAGAAAAAAUGGUUGGCUCCGAGGCACGUGUUACUCAGGAGUAAUCUUGGUGGUACUCAGUGGC